CGCGUAGGCGGUUUUUUAAGUCAGAUGUGUAAUCCCCGAGCUUAACUUGGGAACUGCACCUGAGACUGGAAGGCUAGAGUACUGGAGAGGGUGGUGGAAUUCCUCGUGUAGCGGUGAAAUGCGUAGAGAUGAGGAGGAACACCAGUGGCGAAGGCGGCCACCUGGACAGUAACUGACGCUGAGGCGCGAAAGUGUGGGUAGCAAACAGGAUUAGAUACCCUGGUAGUCCACGCUGUAAACGAUGAACACUUGGUGUGGAGGGAGUUGACCCCUUCCGUGCCGGAGCUAACGCGUUAAGUGUUCCGCCUGGGGAGUACGGUCGCAAGGCUAGAA
Molecule: ribosomal RNA, 333 nt
Filed under: uncultured bacterium
Lineage: Bacteria
Description: bacterial SSU rRNA
Rfam family: Bacterial small subunit ribosomal RNA
Source: RNAcentral